This 302-nucleotide ribosomal RNA is filed under the name uncultured Bacillus sp. Its description in RNAcentral is "bacterial SSU rRNA". It matches the Rfam family "Bacterial small subunit ribosomal RNA", at positions 1088 to 1391 of the family's 1533-position model. The record is from RNAcentral. Lineage: Bacteria; Bacillati; Bacillota; Bacilli; Caryophanales; Bacillaceae.
CGCAACGAGCGCAACCCUUGAUCUUAGUUGCCAGCAUUCAGUUGGGCACUCUAAGGGGACUGCCGGUGACAAACCGGAGGAAGGUGGGGAUGACGUCAAAUCAUCAUGCCCCUUAUGACCUGGGCUACACACGUGCUACAAUGGACAGAACAAAGGGCAGCGAAACCGCGAGGUUAAGCCAAUCCCACAAAUCUGUUCUCAGUUCGGAUCGUAGACUGCAACUCGACUGCGUGAAGCUGGAAUCGCUAGUAAUCGCGGAUCACCAGGCCGCGGGGAAUACGUUCCCGGGCCUUGUACACACC